UGAAAAAUUAUGAAGUCCUCACCAGUCUGAGGCAAAGAAAAGAACUUACUUGGGAGAUAUUCCUCACCCAAAUUCACAAUUGCUUGUUAAAAGUUAGUAACUUGGGGCGCAAGUUAUCCAAAUUUAAGAAGUCUGCUAGGGUUUUCACUACUAGCAGUGGCACACUCAUACACAAAAGAAAGUUGACUUGUUGACCACCAAUGGUUUUCAAGCCAAUGAGGAACUUUACCUUACCAUCACAGGAUUAAAUAAAAAAUGAGUGAACAAUUUGGCACGCCCAGUUGGACUUCUUAGUACGCAUAUUCCUAGAAUUAUCUUCUAG
RNAcentral lists this long non-coding RNA (322 nucleotides) under Prunus persica (peach). Its description in RNAcentral is "long non-coding RNA (PPER_LNC000899)". Lineage: Eukaryota; Viridiplantae; Streptophyta; Magnoliopsida; Rosales; Rosaceae. The record is from RNAcentral.